This 403-nucleotide ribosomal RNA is filed under the name Verrucomicrobiota bacterium. RNAcentral describes it as "Verrucomicrobia bacterium partial 16S ribosomal RNA". It matches the Rfam family "Bacterial small subunit ribosomal RNA", at positions 355 to 776 of the family's 1533-position model. Lineage: Bacteria; Pseudomonadati; Verrucomicrobiota. The record is from RNAcentral.
UAGGGAAUAUUGCACAAUGGGCGCAAGCCUGAUGCAGCAACGCCGCGUGAACGAUGAAGGUCUUCGGAUCGUAAAGUUCUGUUGCAGGGGAAGAUAAUGACGGUACCCUGUGAGGAAGCCCCGGCUAACUACGUGCCAGCAGCCGCGGUAAUACGUAGGGGGCUAGCGUUAUCCGGAUUUACUGGGCGUAAAGGGUGCGUAGGUGGUCUUUCAAGUCGGUGGUUAAAGGCUACGGCUCAACCGUAGUUAGCCUCCGAAACUGGAAGACUUGAGUGCAGGAGAGGAAAGUGGAAUUCCCAGUGUAGCGGUGAAAUGCGUAGAUAUUGGGAGGAACACCAGUAGCGAAGGCGGCUUUCUGGACUGCAACUGACACUGAGGCACGAAAGCGUGGGUAGCAAACAGG